RNAcentral lists this ribosomal RNA (253 nucleotides) under uncultured bacterium. RNAcentral's name for it is "partial 16S ribosomal RNA". It matches the Rfam family "Bacterial small subunit ribosomal RNA", at positions 524 to 776 of the family's 1533-position model. The record is from RNAcentral.
UACAGAGGGUGCGAGCGUUGUCCGGAAUCACUGGGCGUAAAGGGCGCGUAGGUGGCGCCCCAAGUCCGUGGUGAAAGCUCGAUGCUCAACAUCGAGUCGGCCACGGAAACUGGGGGGCUCGAGCACUGUAGAGGCAGAUGGAAUUGCCGGUGUAGUGGUGAAAUGCGUAGAGAUCGGCAGGAACACCCAGGGGGAAACCAGCCGGCUGGGGACGUGCUGACGCUCAGGGGCGAAAGCGUGGGGAGCGAACCGG